This 1502-nucleotide long non-coding RNA is filed under the name Pan troglodytes (chimpanzee). Its description in RNAcentral is "lncRNA (ENSPTRG00000054230.1)". Lineage: Eukaryota; Metazoa; Chordata; Mammalia; Primates; Hominidae. The record is from RNAcentral.
CUGCCUUUUAAAGUCUUUUAAAAAAGUCUUUUAAAUUCCUGAAACUGUUCAUUUGAAUUAAGUAUAGCAUGUUGGACUUUGGAAACUUCAGUUAAUUGUUUGAAUGUAAUCUAUUACAGGUCUCAGAAAAGGUGGUUUCCGACUGCAUUCAGAUCCGGUCAGCUUCAAAAAAGACUUAUCUAUGUUUUAUGGAAUCAGGCUUUGGAAAAUAAGUGGUGGGUUUCAAGUUAAUCCAAGGAACCAAGAACCCUGCUGAAGGCUUGAAAAAAUGAUGUGGUUUCCUAAAAGAAAAAGAGAAGUCUUAUUCUCUGUGCAUGAAUCUUUCUCAACCACCCCUGGCAAGGAGUUAAAAGACCCUGCUGAAAAUGCCAACUCCAGGGAGAGCUCCGUGUUUUCUGUUCCAGGUAUUUUGCAUAGCUCCAAUGGUCACCAACUGCCUCUUUGCUUUUAACAGUGAUUGGUCUCCCUGAAACCUCUAGCUGCUGGUUUUGGCUCCACUUCUCAGGAUCAUCAAAACAAGUCUAAUUAAUUUUCUAUGCCAUGGCCUUUCAACCUUUCAGUUCUGUUUUUUCUGGUAAAUCCUUCCCAGUUUCUUGGGUUUUCUUCCCCAUGUGAAAUGAUGUAAGGUCUUUUAUCAUUCUGGUAGUUUUCUUUGGAAUAGUCUCUAGUUUGGCAGGAGUCUUUGGGAAUGUGGUACCUGAAUUGAACUUAACACAUUAAGUGUGGUUUGAUCAGCAUGAAUUAGAGUGAGACAAUCACCUCUUUCCAUUUGGACUUCAUUAACGAAGGCUGAAGUCUCAUUAACUCCUGGACAUCUCUUUACACAGUGGACUUCUAGUGAGCAUGAGGUCAAUGAAAACUCACAAGUCAUGUUUAUUCAUGCAUUUCUUAUCCUACACUUAAACUUCUUUUAAACUAAGGACAUGACAUUACCUUUUUGUAUGAUAUAUUUCAUCAGUCAGGUUUUAGCCCAUUGUUUAGUGUGUUUUGGAUAUUGAUUCUGUCACACACCAAUUAACCAUUCCUCCACAUUUUGUUUUAUUCAACGUCUGGUCAAUCUGACAUCAAUAUCCUCAUCUGAAUUAUUAAAACACAUGGUGAAGAGGCAGAUCAGAGCCUUGUGAUGUGAUUCCAGGGAACUUUCAUCAGAAGCUGCUUUCCUCUCUCUUCUGAAAGAUAAAGCUCUCUAUAAGCCAGAAUAAACAGUUUUUUCUUAAAUUUUAGCUUUUUCCUGAAUUUUAGCUAAAAAGAGUCCUUGCAGGUGUCUAACUCCUAUGGCUUCUGCAUCUUACCUCUGUGCCUGUGGAUGAAUGUGACUCUGGGAUGAAUCACCUAGUUGUAUGUGGGUUUGUGGGUCCUGGGUGAGGUCCCUUUGGUGGUGUGUGCCUUUGGACCUCUGGAUGAAUAAUCACAACGGCUAAAUUGAUGGGACUGUGGGCCUUAGCUUUUCUUGCCAAUUUGUGAGUUCUCCAAAGGAGGGUUGGAGGGCAGCCCCACAGGAA